UGAAAGACUGAGAUCGGGAAGAGUAGGCAGCAAGCCCUUCAGAGAGUGGAAUUGCAGCGCUGUGAGGUUCCGCAGGAAGCUACUGGCCGAAGUCACCCGGGAGUCGCCUGUUUGAACGGUUCCUCAUUUCAUUCCUUCGGAAGGUAAGAGGUUCACGGUAGAAUAAGGCCGGUCCGCAACCGUUAUCUGCAUAAAGUGUCACACCAUGUGUAAUGGAUCAGUGGAUACAUACACUAGGGGUGAAACAAAGGUGGUACCGCGAGAGAACAGCCUUUCGUCCUUUGA
Molecule: non-coding RNA, 285 nt
Filed under: Paenibacillus polymyxa
Lineage: Bacteria; Bacillati; Bacillota; Bacilli; Caryophanales; Paenibacillaceae
Description: T-box sequence
Rfam family: T-box leader
About the family: Uncharged tRNA acts as the effector for transcription antitermination of genes in the T-box leader family. T-boxes are found upstream of many aminoacyl-tRNA synthetase genes and some amino acid biosynthetic genes usually in Gram-positive bacteria. The anticodon of a specific tRNA base pairs to a specifier sequence within the T-box motif, and the NCCA acceptor tail of the tRNA base pairs to a conserved bulge in the T-box antiterminator hairpin.
Source: RNAcentral